UGGGGAAUAUUGCACAAUGGGCGAAAGCCUGAUGCAGCAACGCCGCGUGAGGGACGACGGCCUUCGGGUUGUAAACCUCUUUAGCAAGGAAGAAGCGAAAGUGACGGUACUUGCAGAAAAAGCGCCGGCUAACUACGUGCCAGCAGCCGCGGUAAUACGUAGGGCGCAAGCGUUAUCCGGAAUUAUUGGGCGUAAAGAGCUCGUAGGCGGUUUGUCGCGUCUGCUGUGAAAACCCGAGGCUCAACCUCGGGCCUGCAGUGGGUACGGGCAGACUAGAGUGCGGUAGGGGAGAUUGGAACUCCUGGUGUAGCGGUGGAAUGCGCAGAUAUCAGGAAGAACACCGAUGGCGAAGGCAGAUCUCUGGGCCGUAACUGACGCUGAGGAGCGAAAGGGUGGGGAGCAAACAGGCUUAGAUACCCUGGUAGUCCACCCGUAAACGUUGGGAACUAGUUGUGGGUCCAUUCCACGGAUUCCGUGACGCAGCUAACGCAUUAAGUUCCCCGCCUGGGGAGUACGGCCGCAAGG
RNAcentral lists this ribosomal RNA (525 nucleotides) under uncultured bacterium. RNAcentral's name for it is "partial 16S ribosomal RNA". It matches the Rfam family "Bacterial small subunit ribosomal RNA", at positions 355 to 893 of the family's 1533-position model. The record is from RNAcentral.